AUGCAGAUGGGUUCUCUACCUGGCCUGUGCCUUGUUGCCUGUUCCUUUACUGUACAUGUGAUGACAAGAAAAGAAGAUGGACCCUCCAUGUUGAACAUGCCUGAUAAAACUCUGCAAAGACAAUGUCUAGCACUUAUAUCUCCAGUAACUCCUGUCAAGGUUUAUUGUUGCUUGUUCAUCAUUGCAGUCCUGACUACAAGUGUGAUUGCACUUUCUAUUGUUUUGUCAGCAAGAAAGGAAAAGCCAGUGGUAGAGUCAUCUAAAUACGCUGCUUGCCCAAAAAGCUGAAUUAGAUUUAGGAGUAAAUGUUUUUAUUUUUCUGAAGGCAUAAGAAAUUAGACAUUGAGUCAAACGUUCUGUGUCUCAUUAGAAGCCAGCCUUGCUCAGUUUGCAACUAUGGAGGAACUGAAUUUCCUGAAAAGAUACAAAGGCCCUUCUGACCAUUGGAUUGGCCUUAGAAGAGAAUCAUCCCAUCGCAUUUGGAAAUGGACAGACAACAUGGAAUAUAAUAACAUGCUUGCUAUCAGAGGAAGUGGAGAAUGUGCCUUCCUGAAUGACAAUGGAGUCAACAGUGGCAGAAUCUACAUGAACAGAAAAUGGAUUUGUAGCAAGCCAAACAAUUAUGUCUACAGUUGCCAGUUAUGUCCCCACUGGGAUACUACCUAGUAGAGCUGUGAGAAGAGGGCCACCAUCCUCCAGACUCCAGAAUGGUGGAAUCAGCAGCAGCUUCCACCAUGCCCCUGGAAAAACUGCAAGUAACAGACCUGCACAUGUAUCCCCUACAUCUAAAAUAAAAGUUGGAAAAAAUGGAACUUUGAUGUUAAGAUGCACUGAUACAAAACUUAAAUUUUGGUCUCCUACAUUAAAACAAUAUGAGUCUCUUAAAAUAUUGAUUUGUUCUUAGUAAGAUUACAAGAGGCUUUGAUUUUUAAUUCUGCAAUGUUUCCUUAACAGCCAUUCUGAAUUACAAACUAAUUCCUAUUUCUGCCACAUUCCUUCCUGAGAACUGUCUAGUCCUGGUUUGGGAUUUAUCUUAAAGGUCUAGAAAGGCAACAUUUUACUUCAGCAAAACUUGAUUCUAUAUUGUUGUUUUUUCUUAAUGUGUCAAAAUUGUUUUGUUACUAGGAUUUCCUAUGUUGUUAUUAAAUGUAUUCCCCUGAUCAAGGUCACUGGCCUAGAAAACAAAGAUUCUGUGUUUUACCAAGAUAAUUCCCAGUGCUUCAUGGUGUCUUUAUUAGGCUUUGACUGCUUAGGGAAACUGAGCCUUAAAAGGGUAAAAGUUUUUCCAUCCAUGUAACUUUCUGAGGUCUUUAGGUUGUCACUCUGAUUAAAUGAGUAGUAUUCUUAGCAGUGACUUAUUAUCUGUUGAAGGAAGUAUUUUAAGCUUUUUGACAUCUUUGGCAGGUUUCUCUAGAAUCCAAAUCCUAAAUUAAGCCUUUUGGCCUAAAAAUGACUGGGAUUUUUCCAGGUGGACCCCCUAGAUAUGCUCCUCCAAAGGCUUGUCUUUCUUGUAGAGUUAUUAAAUGAUUAGGCUUAUUUGGCAAAUACUGCUAGAAGCAUUGUCAAAUAAGAAAUGGUGUUUUACCUUUCUUUAAGCUGUGUUUGUGUAAGUUCAUCAUUUAUAGAAAUGUGAAAUUUUAUGAGAUUCCUAAGAUACUGACAUGCUGAGAUACCUGUAAUAAUUGCAAUUUUUAUGUUGGAUGAUUGUAUGCCACAGAAGCACUUAAAUUUCCUGGUUAAUUGGUAACGUUAAUCAGAUCUUUACCUAUGGCUGUUCUGGGUUUUUGUCAUUCACAGUUAUUAUUUUAAUUUCUUCUUUGGAAGCGUUCGCAAUCAGCUAUAGUCCAAAAUUGCUAAUUAAGAUCAAGCAAAACAAAAUUAAUUACGUAAAAUUAAUUUAUAAGGAUGUUUUUAUGACGUAAAUGUUUUAUUUUCCAGAGCCAAGGAAAUUUUCUGUCACAAGCUAUCUACCGUUUGCAAUAAUUUGAUAAAUAAUCCUUUGUGAACAA
Molecule: long non-coding RNA, 2009 nt
Filed under: Homo sapiens (human)
Lineage: Eukaryota; Metazoa; Chordata; Mammalia; Primates; Hominidae
Description: non-protein coding lnc-CLEC2D-8:2
Source: RNAcentral